ACCCGCUGAACUUAAGCAUAUCAAUAAGCGGAGGAAAAGAAACCAACAGGGAUUACCUCAGUAACGGCGAGUGAAGCGGUAACAGCUCAAAUUUGAAAUCUGGCCCCCUCGGGGCCCGAGUUGUAAUUUGUAGAAGAUGCUUUGGCUGUGGCCCCGGCCUAAGUUCCUUGGAACAGGACGUCGUAGAGGGUGAGAAUCCCGUAUGCGGCUGGUGCCCUCUCCCGUGUAAAGCUCUUUCGACGAGUCGAGUUGUUUGGGAAUGCAGCUCUAAAUGGGAGGUAAAUUUCUUCUAAAGCUAAAUAUUGGCCAGAGACCGAUAGCGCACAAGUAGAGUGAUCGAAAGAUGAAAAGCACUUUGGAAAGAGAGUUAAACAGUACGUGAAAUUGUUGAAAGGGAAGCGCUGGCAACCAGACUUGGGCGCUGCUGAUCCGCGGGGGUUCUCCCCCGGGCACUCUUCUGCGCGCAGGCCAGCAUCGGUUUGGGUGGCUGGAGAAAGGCUGGUGGAAUGUACCUGCCCUCGGGCAGUGUUAUAGCCACCGGUGGCAUGCAGCCCACCCGGACCGAGGACCGCGCUUCUGCUAGGAUGCUGGCGUAAUGGUUGUCAGCGACCCGUCUUGAAACACGGACCAAGG
Molecule: ribosomal RNA, 633 nt
Filed under: Sawadaea negundinis
Lineage: Eukaryota; Fungi; Ascomycota; Leotiomycetes; Helotiales; Erysiphaceae
Description: partial large subunit ribosomal RNA
Rfam family: Eukaryotic large subunit ribosomal RNA
Source: RNAcentral